UACGUAGGGGGCAAGCGUUGUCCGGAUUUAUUGGGCGUAAAGAGCUCGUAGGCGGCUCAGCAAGUCGGUCGUGAAAACCCGGGGCUCAACCCCGGGAGGCCGGUCGAUACUGCUGUGGCUAGGGUCCGGUAGAGGAGAGUGGAAUUCCCGGUGUAGCGGUGGAAUGCGCAGAUAUCGGGAGGAACACCAGUAGCGAAGGCGGCUCUCUGGGCCGGCACCGACGCUGAGGAGCGAAAGCUAGGGGAGCAAACAGGAUUAGAUACCCUGGUAGUCCUAGCCGUAAACGUUGGGCACUAGGUGUGGCGGUCUGACCAACGACUGCCGUGCCGUAGCUAACGCAUUAAGUGCCCCGCCUGGGGAGUACGGUCGCAAGGCUAAA
RNAcentral lists this ribosomal RNA (379 nucleotides) under uncultured bacterium. RNAcentral's name for it is "bacterial SSU rRNA". It matches the Rfam family "Bacterial small subunit ribosomal RNA", at positions 524 to 898 of the family's 1533-position model. The record is from RNAcentral.